AGUGAACGCUGGCGGCGUGCUUAACACAUGCAAGUCGAACGAGAACGGAUUAAAGCUUGCUUUAAUUGUCAGCUAAGUGGCGCACGGGUGAGUAAUAUAUAGGUAACGUGCCUUCAAGAAGGGGAUAACAAUUGGAAACGAUUGCUAAUACCCUAUAUGCCUUUAUGUCAUAAGACAGCAAGGGAAAUAUUUAUAGCUUGAAGAUCGGCCUGUACAGUAUCAGUUAGUUGGUGAGGUAAUGGCUCACCAAGACAAUGACGCUUAACUGGUUUGAGAGGAUGAUCAGUCACACUGGAACUGAGACACGGUCCAG
This 313-nucleotide ribosomal RNA is filed under the name uncultured Arcobacter sp. RNAcentral's name for it is "bacterial SSU rRNA". It matches the Rfam family "Bacterial small subunit ribosomal RNA", at positions 29 to 334 of the family's 1533-position model. The record is from RNAcentral. Lineage: Bacteria; Pseudomonadati; Campylobacterota; Epsilonproteobacteria; Campylobacterales; Arcobacteraceae.